Molecule: ribosomal RNA, 500 nt
Filed under: uncultured bacterium
Lineage: Bacteria
Description: partial 16S ribosomal RNA
Rfam family: Bacterial small subunit ribosomal RNA
Source: RNAcentral
AUUGAACGCUGGCGGCAUGCCUUACACAUGCAAGUCGAACGGCAGCACUGGAGCAAUCCUGGUGGCGAGUGGCGAACGGGUGAGUAAUAUAUCGGAACGUGCCCAGUCGUGGGGGAUAACGCAGCGAAAGCUGUGCUAAUACCGCAUACGAUCUAUGGAUGAAAGCGGGGGAUCGCAAGACCUCGCGCGAUUGGAGCGGCCGAUAUCAGAUUAGCUAGUUGGUGAGGUAAAGGCUCACCAAGGCGACGAUCUGUAGCUGGUCUGAGAGGACGACCGGCCAGAGUGGAAGUGAGAAGCGGUCGAGAGUCCUACGGGAGGCAGCAGUGGGGAAUUUUGGACAAUGGGCGAAAGCCUGAUCCAGCAAUGCCGCGUGCAGGAUGAAGGCCUUCGGGUUGUAAACUGCUUUUGUACGGAACGAAACGGUGAGCUCUAAUACAGUUUGCUAAUGACGGUACCGUAAGAAUAAGCACCGGCUAACUACGUGCCAGCCGCCGCUGUAA